This 253-nucleotide ribosomal RNA is filed under the name uncultured bacterium. RNAcentral's name for it is "partial 16S ribosomal RNA". It matches the Rfam family "Bacterial small subunit ribosomal RNA", at positions 524 to 776 of the family's 1533-position model. The record is from RNAcentral.
UACGGAGGGGGCUAGCGUUGUUCGGAAUUACUGGGCGUAAAGCGCGCGUAGGCGGACCUGCAAGUCGGGGGUGAAAGCCCGAGGCUCAACCUCGGAACUGCCUUCGAUACUGCGGGUCUCGAGUCCGGGAGAGGUGAGUGGAAUUCCUAGUGUAGAGGUGAAAUUCGUAGAUAUUAGGAAGAACACCCGUGGCGAAAGCGGCUCUCUGGGACGGUACUGACGCUGAGACGCGAAAGCGUGGGGAGCAAACAGG